AGUGAACGCUGGCGGCAGGCCUAAUACAUGCAAGUCGAACGGCAGCACAGCAGAGCUUGCUCUGUGGGUGGCGAGUGGCGGACGGGUGAGGAAUACAUGGGAAUCUGCCCAGUCGUGGGGGAUAACGUAUGGAAACGUACGCUAAUACCGCAUGCGCCCUACGGGGGAAAUCGGGGACCGCAAGGCCUGACGCGAUUGGAUGAGCCCAUGUUCGAUUAGCUAGUUGGCGGGGUAAAGGCCCACCAAGGCGACGAUCGAUAGCUGGUCUGAGAGGAUGAUCAGCCACACUGGAACUGAGACACGGUCCAGACUCCUACGGGAGGCAGCAGUAGGGAAUAUUGGACAAUGGGGGCAACCCUGAUCCAGCCAUGCCGCGUGAGUGAAGAAGGCCCUCGGGUUGUAAAGCUCUUUUGUCCGGAAAGAAAGCAAUCGGUUAAUACCCGGUUGUUCUGACGGUACCGGAAGAAUAAGCACCGGCUAACUUCGUGCCAG
This 492-nucleotide ribosomal RNA is filed under the name uncultured bacterium. RNAcentral's name for it is "bacterial SSU rRNA". It matches the Rfam family "Bacterial small subunit ribosomal RNA", at positions 29 to 511 of the family's 1533-position model. The record is from RNAcentral.